GGAGAGGUGACCGAGUGGCCGAAGGUGCACGAUUGGAAAUCGUGUGUAGGGCUAAACACUCUACCGUGGGUUCGAAUCCCACCCUCUCCGCCA
RNAcentral lists this transfer RNA (93 nucleotides) under Acidobacteriota bacterium. RNAcentral's name for it is "Acidobacteria bacterium tRNA-Ser". It matches the Rfam family "tRNA". From Rfam's summary of the family: Transfer RNA (tRNA) molecules are approximately 80 nucleotides in length. Their secondary structure includes four short double-helical elements and three loops (D, anti-codon, and T loops). Further hydrogen bonds mediate the characteristic L-shaped molecular structure. tRNAs have two regions of fundamental functional importance: the anti-codon, which is responsible for specific mRNA codon recognition, and the 3' end, to which the tRNAs corresponding amino acid is attached (by aminoacyl-tRNA synthetases). tRNAs cope with the degeneracy of the genetic code in two manners: having more than one tRNA (with a specific anti-codon) for a particular amino acid; and 'wobble' base-pairing, i.e. permitting non-standard base-pairing at the 3rd anti-codon position. The record is from RNAcentral. Lineage: Bacteria; Pseudomonadati; Acidobacteriota.